UACGUAGGGGGCGAGCGUUGUCCGGAUUUAUUGGGCGUAAAGAGCUCGUAGGCGGUUCGGUAAGUCGGAUGUGAAAUCUCCACGCUCAACGUGGAGGGGCCAUUCGAUACUGCCGUGACUCGAGUCCGGUAGGGGAGUGUGGAAUUCCCGGUGUAGCGGCGAAAUGCGCAGAGAUCGGGAGGAACACCCGUAGCGAAGGCGGCACUCUGGGACGUGACUGACGCUGAGACGCGAAAGCGUGGGGAGCAAACAGG
RNAcentral lists this ribosomal RNA (254 nucleotides) under uncultured bacterium. RNAcentral's name for it is "partial 16S ribosomal RNA". It matches the Rfam family "Bacterial small subunit ribosomal RNA", at positions 524 to 776 of the family's 1533-position model. The record is from RNAcentral.